GAUGAACGCUGGCGGCGUGCCUAAUACAUGCCAGUCGAGCGAACGGACGAGAAGCUUGCUUCUCUGAUGUUAGCGGCGGACGGGUGAGUAACACGUGGAUAACCUACCUAUAAGACUGGGAUAACUUCGGGAAACCGGAGCUAAUACCGGAUAAUAUUUUGAACCGCAUGGUUCAAAAGUGAAAGACGGUCUUGCUGUCACUUAUAGAUGGAUCCGCGCUGCAUUAGCUAGUUGGUAAGGUAACGGCUUACCAAGGCAACGAUGCAUAGCCGACCUGAGAGGGUGAUCGGCCACACUGGAACUGAGACACGGUCCAGACUCCUACGGGAGGCAGCAGUAGGGAAUCUUCCGCAAUGGGAAAGCCUGACGGAGCAACGCCGCGUGAGUGAUGAAGGUCUUCGGAUCGUAAAACUCUGUUAUUAGGGAAGAACAUAUGUGUAAGUAACUGUGCACAUCUUGACGGUACCUAAUCAGAAAGCCACGGCUAACUACGUG
This 495-nucleotide ribosomal RNA is filed under the name uncultured bacterium. Its description in RNAcentral is "partial 16S ribosomal RNA". It matches the Rfam family "Bacterial small subunit ribosomal RNA", at positions 28 to 507 of the family's 1533-position model. The record is from RNAcentral.